AGUUUGAAGGAGCCAUUCUAGCUCAGUAUGCAUUCAGCAUUGAAUUCUUUCAUUUUGAAAAACGGAAGUCUUGAUAGAUUUCAUUCGGCAUCAUCUGAAGCAGAUUGUCUGCACAGAUACAAUAUGUCACCAAACGAGUUCUCCUCUCAGACGAGUGGUACGGGACCUAGCCGUAUUGACGGCGGUGGAGGCGAGGUGUAGACCCGCUGGCUAAACCUUCUACAUGCACCAGUCCGGAGAUCUAGCUACGUCGUUGAUCGAGGCCAACUUAUAGCCAAUCAGCGAUGGACAGACGGUCAGACGGAAGGAAGGGGGAAUAGCCAGCAAAAUGUCUACAAUUUGUUACUUCAACUACUGUUUUAAAUUAACAUUUCACCUCAUAGACGCUGAAUUUAUAUUUAAUAUUUAUAAUUAUUUAAUAUGCUAUACGCAUUAGCAUUGUUUAAGCGGUCCUAAUAAAUACAUUACGGAACAAAUUGUACAGCGCUUUUUACCUGCAAGGGUUUAUUAUAUGCGCUUUACCAGAUACCCUUAGGAGUUUAUAACGCAUUUUGGUAUGCUUUACAUUCCUGCUUCUUUUUUCAAUUAAUAAUAUACUGAUGAGAAUUAUUGUAUUGCUUCGUAAAAAUCAAAGUAUUUACUGUUGACUCUAUAAUUAAUGUAAGUUAAUUUCAUUUCAUUUUGACAGUCGCCCUAUGCGACUACCCCCUCUUUGCCAGCUUAUUUAGUGGACCUCUUUGAAAACCAACUUUUGUCGAAAGGGCUCAUCCACCCAAUUUAUGUUGUGAAUGAAUAAUUGGAUAAACAUUACUUUAAUUCUUUUGAAGAGGGUAUAUUCAUUAUACUAAAAGUCGUGGGUAUUAAUGCAUAUAACAUCGGAUACAAAGUCGAAUUGAUCAAUGCUAAUUUUUUUUUCUCGCAAUUAUGUUAAAGAUACUAACAAGGAGCUGGAACUACAAUACCAUGAUACAACGAAUUUGUAAACAUGUGAAGUGCGACUAAAAAGGCCUCGAAAAAAAA
RNAcentral lists this long non-coding RNA (1020 nucleotides) under Strongylocentrotus purpuratus (purple sea urchin). RNAcentral's name for it is "uncharacterized LOC755132". Lineage: Eukaryota; Metazoa; Echinodermata; Echinoidea; Camarodonta; Strongylocentrotidae. The record is from RNAcentral.